RNAcentral lists this long non-coding RNA (497 nucleotides) under Amazona collaria (yellow-billed parrot). RNAcentral's name for it is "lncRNA (ENSACOG00000006709.1)". Lineage: Eukaryota; Metazoa; Chordata; Aves; Psittaciformes; Psittacidae. The record is from RNAcentral.
CAGGAACAGUCCUGGAGUAGAUUGAGCUGUUUGUACGAGUAAGAGGAGACAGACACAGCCCAUUUGUCCCAGUUAAUAGCAGGAAUCUAGGUAGGAAUCACAACUUCCCUUCGGGCUUUCAUGCGUUUUUCCAGCAGACCCCUUCGUGCACCGGGAGGAGGGAGCUGCACUCUCCGCGGAGAGAGGCAGUGAAGUAGGAAAGUCAAAUGGCUCUAUUAUUGGGGUUUUUUAAGUCAUUGUGUAUAUUUGUGAACUUUUUGUAUUAUUAUUGUUUUGUGAUCAGGUUUCCCCUGGAACUGAAGAGCCGUAGGGGGGUCCUGCCGUGCAGAACACGGACUCGUGUCUGUCUCUGUCCGACAGCGGCGUGGACGUUGGAUGUUCCUGGCCAUCGCUGCAGGAGAGAUGCAGGGACGCGGCAGGGGCGGCGGCUAAUUCGCCAGGAGUACACUGUAACCAUCCUGUCCUUCAGCUGCUUUCCCUUGAGUGGGCCUGAAUGA